Molecule: long non-coding RNA, 977 nt
Organism: Monomorium pharaonis (pharaoh ant)
Lineage: Eukaryota; Metazoa; Arthropoda; Insecta; Hymenoptera; Formicidae
Exons: 2
Source: RefSeq, a predicted model, not a curated record
UUAAUUAAGAGGAGUUAGUAAUUUUCAAAAAAUUAUUUUUUGGAUUUUUGUGUAAGAAAAUGUAUUAAAUCGGAUGGCGCAAUUAUGUCAGGAUCCCGUAAUUUGAAUUCAAGUAUUUAUUAUCGUGCCUGCUACAGCCAAAUCCGUCGCAAGAACCCGCGAAGUGUUUAUCGAGCGUCUCUAAACACGUAUCCUCUCCUGAGCGUCUCUUGUUGCGUCUCUCGUCCGUAUAACUCGUUUGGCCUCGAAAAAGUGAAAGUGUUUUGUGUUGCUAGGUGCAUCGUAACCCUGGAUCCUUAUGCAGACAACGGUGCUUUGACACCGCUAAUUGGUGAAAAACGGGUGGUGGUGGUAAAUAUUAUCGCCAUCACCCGUUUUUGACCAAUUAGCGCUCGGUGUCAAAGCGCCGUUGUCUGCAUGAGGAUCCAGGGUAACCCUAGCGUCACUUGCUUUCCUUUCCUUGGCAUUCCUUUCGGUAUUGCGUCAUACUCCCACGAGUGCCCUAGUAUGGCCUUUGGGAAGGAAUAUCCCGAAUUUUCUUACAUUUGUAAUUUCUGAAAGUAUAACAUCUCGAGAAUAUCUCAUUAAAUUUUCAAGUCGAUCCGACUAAAACUGUCAAAGUGGCAAAGUCACAAAGGUCAGUCUCUCAACGCUGUUAGGAAGGAGCAGCUAUCAGCAGCUGCUCUCUCACUGACUAAUAUUUUAGAGACGGCUAUGGAAGACGAAGAUGUGCUAUAUGGGCCUAAAAUUGAUGACUCUGCAUAUCGAAGUUUUCUCGCAAGGCUUUAAUUGACAACGAGCCAGAAGAUGAAAUAACAAAGUCCGUGUCUCGAGCAAUGCAAACCUGUUGCCGAUGUACAUUCUCGGGCCUAAUCCAAAUGAGUGAUAAUAUAUUGUAGUGAUUUUGUAUUAAAGCAAAUUAUUCGGUUUAGCAGCGCCAAGUUUUUUGUAAUAAAAUAUUUAUUCGUAUUAAAGUA